This 174-nucleotide ribosomal RNA is filed under the name uncultured Saccharomyces. Its description in RNAcentral is "partial 26S ribosomal RNA". It matches the Rfam family "Eukaryotic large subunit ribosomal RNA", at positions 62 to 234 of the family's 3401-position model. Lineage: Eukaryota; Fungi; Ascomycota; Saccharomycetes; Saccharomycetales; Saccharomycetaceae. The record is from RNAcentral.
AAACCAACCGGGAUUGCCUUAGUAACGGCGAGUGAAGCGGCAAAAGCUCAAAUUUGAAAUCUGGUACCUUCGGUGCCCGAGUUGUAAUUUGGAGAGGGCAACUUUGGGGCCGUUCCUUGUCUAUGUUCCUUGGAACAGGACGUCAUAGAGGGUGAGAAUCCCGUGUGGCGAGGA